GAUGAAGAACGCAGUGAAAUGCGAUAAGUAAUGCGAAUUGCAGAUUUCAGUGAGUCAUCGAAUCUUUGAACGCACAUUGCGCCCGCCAGUAUUCUGGCGGGCAUGCCUGUUCGAGCGUCAUUUCAACCAUCAAGCCCCCGGGCUUGCGUUGGGGCCCUGCGGCUGCCGCAGGCCCCGAAAACCAGUGGCGGGCUCGCUGUCACACCGAGCGUAGUAGAUUUUCAUCUCGCUCAGGGCGUGCUGCGGGUUCCGGCCGUAAAAAGCCUUAUUUACCCAAGGUUGACCUCGGAUCAGGUAGGAAGACCCGCUGAACUUAAGCAUAUCAAUAAGCGGAGGA
This 337-nucleotide unclassified non-coding RNA is filed under the name soil metagenome. RNAcentral describes it as "partial contains 5.8S ribosomal RNA, internal transcribed spacer 2, and large subunit ribosomal RNA". The stretch from base 1 to 120 matches the Rfam family "5.8S ribosomal RNA", at positions 35 to 154 of the family's 154-position model. The record is from RNAcentral.